GGAGAGAUGGCCGAGUGGUUGAUAGCCCCGGUCUUGAAAACCGGUAUAGUUUGAAACAAAGAACUAUCGAG
This 71-nucleotide transfer RNA is filed under the name Potentilla clusiana. RNAcentral describes it as "partial tRNA-Ser". The record is from RNAcentral. Lineage: Eukaryota; Viridiplantae; Streptophyta; Magnoliopsida; Rosales; Rosaceae.